CAAGAAGCACCUGCACUGCUUGCUUUGCUAGGACCUCGAAACACACCACAAAAAAUUUAUCGCUUCACAGACUUUUAUGGCCAAGGGAUUGAAAUAUGCCAAACUGAGGGUUCAAGAGAUAACUCCUCAUGACGUUGCACACAUCAUUCCUGAAGCUUGUUUACAUGCUGCACAUAAGCUAUAAUAUAUUCGGUAAUAAGGUAUAAGGUAACAAGUGACUACAAAUCAUGGUAGGUUGAUGCAAAUUUAUACGUUUUUAAUACUUUUUUAUGCAAUUUUUAUACUUUUUUUGUAAUAUCCUGAGUGGCAGCACUGGAUUCUGCUUAAAUAAUUUCUCAUUAUUUUCCGCACAGCAAGAGUGAUGGCAAUACCUGGUAACCUAAUAAUGGUAAACCUGUCAUGUUCUUUGAUAUGCGUAAUAUAUUAUAGUUCGUAUUAUACGUACAUGUGCAUGCAACUCACAGUGUAUGCAGGGAUUUUAGUCGUAUGUAAAGCAGAAGUAGUGAUACUAAAUGAGCAUGUAAUAAGUUCCUAUCUACGCGCAUAUAUUAAUGCUUAACGUCUUCUUCUGAGUAUGUGACUGAGAAGUUAGUCAAUAUGUAAGUCUGAGCUUGUAUCAGACCUCCAGCCACAGUCACCUAAUGAAACUGCAAUUGUCACUUACAGAGUAUGCACAUCUUAUGUACAGGUUUAGGGAAAAUGCAUUGCUUGUAAUGUACAUGCAUGUGUUGUUAUCCAGGUGGCAUACGUCGACUUCAGGAGUGCGCCAUGAUGCACCUCUUGCUGAGUGGAAUCUUCAUCAAGACAGUUGGUGCCGUGGUCGUAGUUCUAGCCAGAGUGCGGAGUGUCUGAGCAGCUGAAAAGGGAUCUGUGGCAGGAGCUGUGCAGGAGAGCCUUUACGGAGUUACUGCAGCUGCAAGACAGCUAGUACAUGCUGGAGAUCAUGCAAUCAGAGAAUGGAAGAGGACAUACUCAGGAAUAGGUCAUUAAAUAAGGAAUAGGUUUCUAUGAAAAAGGUUACACACAUUACCUCCCUUAUAUAAUAAGAGAGCACUCAACGUUCUCAAUAUCCUGAUUUUCUGGAACACCAGGUUAAAUUACGUACAUUUUUCAUUGUCAUUGGCCAGCAGUGCUAUUUCAUAUGAGAACUAGUGUAUGAUGCUAAUCAAAAUAUAUCCAUAUAUAAUAUUGCUGAAACUAUACACCUGUGGUCAGCACGUACUCAGCAGUAGUGUGAUAUGAAAAAUGCUGAUACCAAUGAUUCACUUUCUUAAUUAUAAGGAGGUAAAUUUCUCACACCUCUUUAAAACGUGCAAUAUCGUAGAGGUCACCCAAGAAUAUUAACAUUGGUGUAGUAGACUGAUGGGUAAAGCAUUAUGUGCAAUGUUUGGUAAUUCAAUUUUUAGUAAAAACAAAACUUUCUAA
Molecule: long non-coding RNA, 1425 nt
Organism: Priapulus caudatus
Lineage: Eukaryota; Metazoa; Priapulida; Priapulimorpha; Priapulimorphida; Priapulidae
Exons: 2
Source: RefSeq, a predicted model, not a curated record